CAUCAACAUAUCAUCAAAUAAAUCCUAGUAUCGUCCUUGAACUUAAAAUUAAGUCAUGGCAAUUAAUCCUCUCAAAACUCUUUUGGUGACUCUCUUGGUCUGUGCACUAGUAGUGUCUCCAAUGAUGACCAUCGAGGCAUCUCCUCUUAAUCAUCAUCGAGAGCUCCGAAAGGUACCAUCAAAUUGUGAUCCCGGCUAUUAUCUCAUAUGCACGCCGAAUGGUGAAUGCAAGUGUUGUCCAGAUGGCACUCUUCCUAGCGGUUGCUGAAAAUCAAAUUAUUAUGAAUGAAUAAAAGAGUAUCUCCAUAUGGAUAUAAAUUAAAAGAAUGUCUCUCUUUAUAUAUUUGUCCAUAAUUGGUAUGAGCUAUUCAAUUAUGUUAUAGCUAUCAUAUGUUAAUAAAAGAGUACCUCCCUUAAUAUA
Jatropha curcas is the source of this 421-nucleotide long non-coding RNA. RefSeq lists it as uncharacterized. The record is from RefSeq and is a predicted model, not a curated record. NCBI's taxonomy places the organism in Eukaryota, Viridiplantae, Streptophyta, Magnoliopsida, Malpighiales, Euphorbiaceae.